ACUUUGAAAAAAUUAGAGUGCUCAAAGCAGGCUAAUUCAGCCUCUGGAUAAUGGUGCAUGGAAUAAUGGAAUAGGACCUCGGUUCUAUUUUGUUGGUUUUUAAGAAUCUGAGGUAAUGAUUAAGAGGGAUAGACGGGGGCAUUCGUAUUGCGACGCUAGAGGUGAAAUUCUUGGACCGUCGCACGACGAACUACUGCGAAAGCAUUUGCCAAGAAUGUUUCCAUUAAUCAAGAACGAAAGUCAGAGGUUCGAAGGCGAUCAGAUACCGCCCUAGUUCUGACCAUAAACGAUGCCAGCCAGCGAUCCGGCUGCGUUUCAUAAGACGACGCGCCGGGCAGCUUCCGGGAAACCAAAGCUUUUGGGUUCCGGGGGGAGUAUGGUUGCAAAGCUGAAACUUAAAGGAAUUGACGGAAGCGCACACAAGAAAUGGGGCCUGCGGCUUAAUUUGACUCAACACGGUGCAACUCACCCGGCCCGGACACAGGAAGGAUUGACAGAUUAAGAGCUCUUUCUUGAUUCUGUGACAGGUGGUGCAUGGCCGUUUCUAGUUGGUGGAGUGAUUUGUCUGCUUUAUUGCGAUAACGAGCGAGACUCUAGCCUACUAAAUAGACAUUCCAUAAAUUACAAGUGGAAUGGUCUUCUUAGAGGGACAAGCGGUGUUCAGCCGCACGAAACGGAGCAAAAACAGGUCAGGAUGCCCUUAGAUGUUCGGGGCCGCACGCGCGCCACAUUGAAGGAAUCAGCGUGUUUUUCCCUCCCCGAUAGGGGCGGGUAAUCCGUUGAAAUCCCUUCGUGCUAGGGAUAGGAAAUUGCAAUUGUUUUCCUUGAACGAGGAAUUCCUAGUAAGCAUUGAGUCAUCAGCUCGUGUUGAUUACGUCCCUGCGCUUUGUGCACACCGCCCGUCGCUAUUAUCGAUGAAUUUUGGAGUGAGAUCAU
This 936-nucleotide ribosomal RNA is filed under the name Tetragnatha sp. DMN-2016. RNAcentral describes it as "SSU rRNA". It matches the Rfam family "Eukaryotic small subunit ribosomal RNA", at positions 754 to 1710 of the family's 1831-position model. Lineage: Eukaryota; Metazoa; Arthropoda; Arachnida; Araneae; Tetragnathidae. The record is from RNAcentral.